UGUGCCGUGUGUGUGUGUGUGUGUGUGUGUGCGCGCACGCACACGCAUGUGUGGGCGUGUGCAUACAUUUAUGUUUGUGUGUGCAUGUGUGUAUGCAGCUGUUCGUGUGUGUGUCCUGAUGUGUACGUGUGUGCAUGCAUACAGGUGCAUACGUAUGCAUGUGCUCAUGACCCUGCCUGUGUGUGCAUGUGUGCACAUAAAGUGGACCCAGGGUGGGAGGGGAGAGGCAUCCUGCUGGAUGUUUUUGUUUUCCUCCAUGACCAGUGACUCCGGAAAGUCCCCUGGCACACAUCUCAGGAACCAGGAAGCAAGUGAUCACAGAUCAGAGCAGGAAGAAGGCAGGUGAUGCUGCUUGGUCCUCUUUGGGUGUGGGGAGCUUGCAAGCAGCGACAGGUGCUCAGGGGCAGACCCGGCGCUGCGGACGGACCGUGAGAAAGCACCCCACCUCGGUUCUGCAGGAGACCAGAAGGCCGUCAGCAUGGAACAUCUGGGCACAUCUCAGAUUCGCGGCUUCCUGUGGGUUGUCUUGGCCCAGAAACCGCAGGAAUCUGCCCUCACCCAGCUGGGGAGGCUGGUUUCCAGGCUCCGAGCACUUAUCACACGUUAUUUUGUGCAUCUGCCUCUGGGCCUGCCUCUCCCCCUGGGGCAGAGCCCGACUGGCUUCCCCUGUGCUGUCCCACGGUGUCACAAGGCCAGGGACAUGGUUGGGGCUCAAUCUAUGCUUGAACGUGGGAUGCCAGAACCUCACUGAGCCUUCCAGGUUCCAGAAUUGCCCGGCCACUCCGGCCAGCUUCCAGUCUCCCGCUCCCCCCAAGGGCCAGCGGUGGACGCCAAGUCCAUCCUGGUGCCCCCAGCCUCCUCCCUUCCAGUGGGUCAUUGCUCUCCCUCCUCCCUAAAAACUGCACGUGUGCCUCGAGCUCCCCUUCCAGGACCAUUUACCUCUGCAGGCUGGUCUGUCCUGCCUCUUGCUCAGGCUGCUUGUGCUGUGAGUUUGGCCUCUGGCUCGCUGGGGACCAGAAAAACAAAAUUUAUCAUCUGGCUGCCCUAUUUUUUUUUCUUUCUUUCUUUCUUUCCUUUUUUCCCCCCCAAGAACGAAGCAAGCACUUCUCUACCAUCCUCAGAAAGAGCUUUAAACAUGGCAGGCCACUGGCAAAAAAUGUCCUCCUUCUCAGAGGGAAGGAGUGCAACCGUUAACAAUAAAAAAAAAAAAUCCCUGGGAUUUAUGGGGGCC
Molecule: long non-coding RNA, 1231 nt
Filed under: Ursus maritimus (polar bear)
Lineage: Eukaryota; Metazoa; Chordata; Mammalia; Carnivora; Ursidae
Description: lncRNA (ENSUMAG00000007651.1)
Source: RNAcentral